This 710-nucleotide ribosomal RNA is filed under the name Acinetobacter sp. F24(2008). Its description in RNAcentral is "bacterial SSU rRNA". It matches the Rfam family "Bacterial small subunit ribosomal RNA", at positions 46 to 744 of the family's 1533-position model. Lineage: Bacteria; Pseudomonadati; Pseudomonadota; Gammaproteobacteria; Moraxellales; Moraxellaceae. The record is from RNAcentral.
GCUUACCAUGCAAGUCGAGCGGGGAAGGGUAGCUUGCUACCUGACCUAGCGGCGGACGGGUGAGUAAUGCUUAGGAAUCUGCCUAUUAGUGGGGGACAACAUUCCGAAAGGAAUGCUAAUACCGCAUACGCCCUACGGGGGAAAGCAGGGGAUCUUCGGACCUUGCGCUAAUAGAUGAGCCUAAGUCAGAUUAGCUAGUUGGUGGGGUAAAGGCCUACCAAGGCGACGAUCUGUAGCGGGUCUGAGAGGAUGAUCCGCCACACUGGGACUGAGACACGGCCCAGACUCCUACGGGAGGCAGCAGUGGGGAAUAUUGGACAAUGGGCGAAAGCCUGAUCCAGCCAUGCCGCGUGUGUGAAGAAGGCCUUUUGGUUGUAAAGCACUUUAAGCGAGGAGGAGGCUACUGAGAUUAAUACUCUUGGAUAGUGGACGUUACUCGCAGAAUAAGCACCGGCUAACUCUGUGCCAGCAGCCGCGGUAAUACAGAGGGUGCGAGCGUUAAUCGGAUUUACUGGGCGUAAAGCGUGCGUAGGCGGCUUUUUAAGUCGGAUGUGAAAUCCCUGAGCUUAACUUAAGGAAUUGCAUUCGAUACUGGGGAAGCUAGAGUAUGGGAAAAGGAUGGUAGAAAUUCCAGGUGUAGCGGUGAAAAUGCGUAAAAGAUCUGGAGGAAUACCGAUGGCGAAGGCAGCCCAUCUGGGCCUAAUACUGAC